AACGAACGCUGGCGGCAUGCCUAACACAUGCAAGUCGAACGAAGGCUUCGGCCUUAGUGGCGCACGGGUGCGUAACGCGUGGGAAUCUGCCCUUUGGUUCGGAAUAACAACUGGAAACGGCUGCUAAUACCGGAUGAUGACGAAAGUCCAAAGAUUUAUCGCCAGAGGAUGAGCCCGCGUUGGAUUAGGUAGUUGGUGGGGUAAAGGCCUACCAAGCCGACGAUCCAUAGCUGGUCUGAGAGGAUGAUCAGCCACACUGGGACUGAGACACGGCCCAGACUCCUACGGGAGGCAGCAGUGGGGAAUAUUGGACAAUGGGCGCAAGCCUGAUCCAGCAAUGCCGCGUGAGUGAUGAAGGCCCUAGGGUUGUAAAGCUCUUUUACCCGGGAAGAUAAUGACUGUACCGGGAGAAUAAGCCCCGGCUAACUCCGUG
Molecule: ribosomal RNA, 433 nt
Filed under: uncultured bacterium
Lineage: Bacteria
Description: partial 16S ribosomal RNA
Rfam family: Bacterial small subunit ribosomal RNA
Source: RNAcentral